GGGACACGUGGUAUCCUGUCUGAAUAUGGGGGGACCAUCCUCCAAGGCUAAAUACUCCUGACUGACCGAUAGUGAACCAGUACCGUGAGGGAAAGGCGAAAAGAACCCCGGCGAGGGGAGUGAAAAAGAACCUGAAACCGUGUACGUACAAGCAGUGGGAGCACAGAGCAAUCUGUGUGACUGCGUACCUUUUGUAUAAUGGGUCAGCGACUUAUAUUCUGUAGCAAGGUUAACCGAAUAGGGGAGCCGAAGGGAAACCGAGUCUUAACUGGGCGUUAAGUUGCAGGGUAUAGACCCGAAACCCGGUGAUCUAGCCAUGGGCAGGUUGAAGGUUGGGUAACACUAACUGGAGGACCGAACCGACUAAUGUUGAAAAAUUAGCGGAUGACUUGUGGCUGGGGGUGAAAGGCCAAUCAAACCGGGAGAUAGCUGGUUCUCCCCGAAAGCUAUUUAGGUAGCGCCUCGUGAAUUCAUCUCCGGGGGUAGAGCACUGUUUCGGCAAGGGGGUCAUCCCGACUUACCAACCCGAUGCAAACUGCGAAUACCGGAGAAUGUUAUCACGGGAGACACACGGCGGGUGCUAACGUCCGUCGUGAAGAGGGAAACAACCCAGACCGCCAGCUAAGGUCCCAAAGUCAUGGUUAAGUGGGAAACGAUGUGGGAAGGCCCAGACAGCCAGGAUGUUGGCUUAGAAGCAGCCAUCAUUUAAAGAAAGCGUAAUAGCUCACUGGUCGAGUCGGCCUGCGCGGAAGAUGUAACGGGGCUAAACCAUGCACCGAAGCUGCGGCAGCGACGCUGAUGCGUUGUUGGGUAGGGGAGCGUUCUGUAAGCCUGUGAAGGUGUGCUGUGAGGCAUGCUGGAGGUAUCAGAAGUGCGAAUGCUGACAUAAGUAACGAUAAAGCGGGUGAAAAGCCCGCUCGCCGGAAGACCAAGGGUUCCUGUCCAACGUUAAUCGGGGCAGGGUGAGUCGACCCCUAAGGCGAGGCCGAAAGGCGUAGUCGAUGGGAAACAGGUUAAUAUUCCUGUACUUGGUGUUACUGCGAAGGGGGGACGGAGAAGGCUAUGUUGGCCGGGCGACGGUUGUCCCGGUUUAAGCGUGUAGGCUGGUUUUCCAGGCAAAUCCGGAAAAUCAAGGCUGAGGCGUGAUGACGAGGCACUACGGUGCUGAAGCAACAAAUGCCCUGCUUCCAGGAAAAGCCUCUAAGCAUCAGGUAACAUCAAAUCGUACCCCAAACCGACACAGGUGGUCAGGUAGAGAAUACCAAGGCGCUUGAGAGAACUCGGGUGAAGGAACUAGGCAAAAUGGUGCCGUAACUUCGGGAGAAGGCACGCUGAUAUGUAGGUGAAGUCCCUCGCGGAUGGAGCUGAAAUCAGUCGAAGAUACCAGCUGGCUGCAACUGUUUAUUAAAAACACAGCACUGUGCAAACACGAAAGUGGACGUAUACGGUGUGACGCCUGCCCGGUGCCGGAAGGUUAAUUGAUGGGGUCAGCGCAAGCGAAGCUCUUGAUCGAAGCCCCGGUAAACGGCGGCCGUAACUAUAACGGUCCUAAGGUAGCGAAAUUCCUUGUCGGGUAAGUUCCGACCUGCACGAAUGGCGUAAUGAUGGCCAGGCUGUCUCCACCCGAGACUCAGUGAAAUUGAACUCGCUGUGAAGAUGCAGUGUACCCGCGGCAAGACGGAAAGACCCCGUGAACCUUUACUAUAGCUUGACACUGAACAUUGAGCCUUGAUGUGUAGGAUAGGUGGGAGGCUUUGAAGUGUGGACGCCAGUCUGCAUGGAGCCGACCUUGAAAUACCACCCUUUAAUGUUUGAUGUUCUAACGUUGACCCGUGAUCCGGGUUGCGGACAGUGUCUGGUGGGUAGUUUGACUGGGGCGGUCUCCUCCUAAAGAGUAACGGAGGAGCACGAAGGUUGGCUAAUCCUGGUCGGACAUCAGGAGGUUAGUGCAAUGGCAUAAGCCAGCUUGACUGCGAGCGUGACGGCGCGAGCAGGUGCGAAAGCAGGUCAUAGUGAUCCGGUGGUUCUGAAUGGAAGGGCCAUCGCUCAACGGAUAAAAGGUACUCCGGGGAUAACAGGCUGAUACCGCCCAAGAGUUCAUAUCGACGGCGGUGUUUGGCACCUCGAUGUCGGCUCAUCACAUCCUGGGGCUGAAGUAGGUCCCAAGGGUAUGGCUGUUCGCCAUUUAAAGUGGUACGCGAGCUGGGUUUAGAACGUCGUGAGACAGUUCGGUCCCUAUCUGCCGUGGGCGCUGGAGAACUGAGGGGGGCUGCUCCUAGUACGAGAGGACCGGAGUGGACGCAUCACUGGUGUUCGGGUUGUCAUGCCAAUGGCACUGCCCGGUAGCUAAAUGCGGAAGAGAUAAGUGCUGAAAGCAUCUAAGCACGAAACUUGCCCCGAGAUGAGUUCUCCCUGACCCUU
Molecule: ribosomal RNA, 2421 nt
Filed under: Escherichia coli
Lineage: Bacteria; Pseudomonadati; Pseudomonadota; Gammaproteobacteria; Enterobacterales; Enterobacteriaceae
Description: partial 23S ribosomal RNA
Rfam family: Bacterial large subunit ribosomal RNA
Source: RNAcentral